AAGAAGUUAGUUAAACAAUAACAUUAGUAUGUCAUGCUAAAAUUAUUAAUAAAUAAUACGUCUUA
RNAcentral lists this transfer RNA (65 nucleotides) under Myrmecophilus kubotai. Its description in RNAcentral is "tRNA-Asp". Lineage: Eukaryota; Metazoa; Arthropoda; Insecta; Orthoptera; Myrmecophilidae. The record is from RNAcentral.